CGGGGUAUGGCGCAGCCUGGUAGCGCGCUCCGUUCGGGACGGAGAGGUCCGCAGUUCGAAUCUGCGUACCCCGA
This 74-nucleotide transfer RNA is filed under the name Thermoleophilia bacterium. Its description in RNAcentral is "tRNA-Pro". It matches the Rfam family "tRNA". Rfam says of the family: Transfer RNA (tRNA) molecules are approximately 80 nucleotides in length. Their secondary structure includes four short double-helical elements and three loops (D, anti-codon, and T loops). Lineage: Bacteria; Bacillati; Actinomycetota; Thermoleophilia. RNAcentral also lists the same sequence under 2 other names. The record is from RNAcentral.